GGGGACGACUUGGUUUCGACAUGAAUUGCAAAACAUAAAGUGUAUGUCGAGGUGUUAAUACUCGUAAAACUUAGCAAACUUAUAGUUGCAAACGAAAACAACUACGCAAUCGCGGCCUGAUCGCUGCGAAGCCAAAGCACAGAUCUCUUGUAGUCUAUGUGGCGGUGCAACACAUACAAGAUAGUUUUUAACCUAACCCUUAGGAUAAUUACGAAACCUCUCAAAGGGUUGCUUUUUUGAAUAAACCUGUUUGUCGGUUGUUUGAAAACUAAGACUAAAAGACAAUACUAAACAUAUAGACCUUUAUGCAGAGUGUUUGUGGACGGGGGUUCAACUCCCCCCGUCUCCACCA
This 352-nucleotide transfer-messenger RNA is filed under the name Gammaproteobacteria (g-proteobacteria). RNAcentral's name for it is "QNFE01 sp003645455 Standard tmRNA". It matches the Rfam family "transfer-messenger RNA". Rfam says of the family: Bacterial tmRNA, also known as 10Sa RNA or SsrA, is named for its dual tRNA and mRNA-like properties. RNAcentral also lists the same sequence under 2 other names. The record is from RNAcentral. Lineage: Bacteria; Pseudomonadati; Pseudomonadota.